Molecule: ribosomal RNA, 252 nt
Filed under: uncultured bacterium
Lineage: Bacteria
Description: partial 16S ribosomal RNA
Rfam family: Bacterial small subunit ribosomal RNA
Source: RNAcentral
UACGGGGGGGGCAAGCGUUGUUCGGAAUUACUGGGCGUAAAGGGCUCGUAGGUGGCCAACUAAGUCAGACGUGAAAUCCCUCGGCUUAACCGGGGAACUGCGUCUGAUACUGGAUGGCUAGAGUUUGGGAGAGGGAUGCGGAAUUCCGGUGGAGCGGUGAAAUGCGUAGAUAUCGGAAGGAACACCGGUGGCGAAAGCGGCGCUCUGGCCCUCUUCUGACGCUGAGGCGCGAAAGCCAGGGGAGCAAACGGG